Molecule: ribosomal RNA, 951 nt
Filed under: Foraminifera sp.
Lineage: Eukaryota; Foraminifera
Description: SSU rRNA
Rfam family: Eukaryotic small subunit ribosomal RNA
Source: RNAcentral
AAGGGCACCACAAGAACGCGUGGAGCAUGUGGCUCAAUUUGACUCAACGCGGGAAAUCUUACCGGGUCCGGACACACUGAGGAUUGACAGGUGUUUGUGGUUUGUCCCUCGUUGGACUUUCCACUAUAAAUAUGCUAGUCCUUUCAUGAUUGUGUGAUAGGUGGUGCAUGGCCGUUCUUAGUUCGUGGAGUGAUCUGUCUGCUUAAUUGCGUUUCACAAUGGGCUUUCUAUCUUCUAUCUGUUGCGCUUGACUUGCCCUCGUGGUAUUGUCUUGUCGCACGGUAGUAGGAACUGCCCUGAAGGCAACGAACGUGACCGCAACCUCUUGUUGCCUCCUUUUUUCAACAAAACAUGGGUGUGUUUCUACCUUGUGUCGAUCGCACCCUGCACGGAGUUUUUGCAAACUAGAGGGACCGCUGACAACUUUUAAAACAGAGGAAGGUUGCGGCAAUAACAGGUCUGUGAUGCCCUUAGAUGUUCCGGGCUGCACACGUGCUACAAUGAUUAUUGCAGUGAGCAUGUAACUUUACAAGACAUGGAUUUGUGUUUGGUGUUCCGCACCUUACACAAUCCGGUCACCGACCUGCUUCGAAAGUAAGCAGGUAAUCAAUUCGAAGUAAUGAUUUCCUUUUCGCACAUACUUAUAUCGCCUGUAUUUGAACCGCCUGGCUCAGCUUGCUGUCCCUUGUCGCUUGUUCCAGGUGAUAUGUGCUCCAUUAAUUCAUGGUGGGGACAGACCAUUGUUAAUUGUUGGUCUCGGUCUCAACUAGGAAUGCCUUGUACGGGUCUUUGGUUCAACAAACCACCCGGAAUAUGUCCCUGCCCUUUGUACACACCGCCCGUCGCUCUUACCGAUGGACUUCUCUGUGAGUAUAGAGGACUGGCUAGCUACUUGUUUAGCAAGCUAUGGAAAUCUACGCGAACAGCGAGGUCUAAAGGAAAGAGAAGUCG